AACGAACGCUGGCGGCAUGCCUAACACAUGCAAGUCGAACGAGACCUUCGGGUCUAGUGGCGCACGGGUGCGUAACGCGUGGGAACCUGCCCUUAGGUUCGGAAUAACUCCCCGAAAGGGGUGCUAAUACCGGAUAAUGUCUUCGGACCAAAGAUUUAUCGCCUUUGGAUGGGCCCGCGUUGGAUUAGCUAGUUGGUAGGGUAAAAGCCUACCAAGGCGACGAUCCAUAGCUGGUCUGAGAGGAUGAUCAGCAACACUGGGACUGAGACACGGCCCAGACUCCUACGGGAGGCAGCAGUGGGGAAUAUUGGACAAUGGGCGAAAGCCUGAUCCAGCAAUGCCGCGUGAGUGAUGAAGGCCUUAGGGUUGUAAAGCUCUUUUACCCGGGAUGAUAAUGACAGUACCGGGAGAAUAAGCUCCGGCUAACUCCGU
This 432-nucleotide ribosomal RNA is filed under the name uncultured bacterium. Its description in RNAcentral is "partial 16S ribosomal RNA". It matches the Rfam family "Bacterial small subunit ribosomal RNA", at positions 29 to 506 of the family's 1533-position model. The record is from RNAcentral.